RNAcentral lists this ribosomal RNA (497 nucleotides) under uncultured bacterium. RNAcentral describes it as "partial 16S ribosomal RNA". It matches the Rfam family "Bacterial small subunit ribosomal RNA", at positions 28 to 507 of the family's 1533-position model. The record is from RNAcentral.
GAUGAACGCUGGCGGCGUGCCUAAUACAUGCAAGUCGAGCGAACAGAUGAGGAGCUUGCUCCUCUGACGUUAGCGGCGGACGGGUGAGUAGCACGUGGAUAACCUACCUAUAAGACUGGGAUAGCUUCGGGAAACCGGAGCUAAUACCGGAUAAUAUAUUGAACCGCAUGGUUCAAUAGUGAAAGACGGUUUUGCUGUCACUUAUAGAUGGAUCCGCGCCGCAUUAGCUAGUUGGUAAGGUAACGGCUUACCAAGGCAACGAUGCGUAGCCGACCUGAGAGGGUGAUCGGCCACACUGGAACUGAGACACGGUCCAGACUCCUACGGGAGGCAGCAGUAGGGAAUCUUCCGCAAUGGGCGAAAGCCUGACGGAGCAACGCCGCGUGAGUGAUGAAGGUCUUCGGAUCGUAAAACUCUGUUAUUAGGGAAGAACAAAUGUGUAAGUAACUAUGCACGUCUUGACGGUACCUAAUCAGAAAGCCACGGCUAACUACGUG